GGAGGCAGAGGAGGGGUCGCCGGAGCUGCCAUGUCCGCCAUCUUGGAGCGUCGGUGAUGGUGGCGAGCGGAGGUUUUCCCGCCUGAGCGGAGGCACCCGGGGCCUGUGGCGGGGGACGCGCUGCCGAGGAAGAAAUCUGCUUCAUCUAAUUCAAUGCUAAUUCAGUCCUGCUAAUCUGCUAGUACUGUAGAUUGAAAGAUUUUUUUGCUGUUGCCAGGAUACCCUGUAAUGGGCAAGAAGCCUGAGAGAAUACAAAACGUUCUGAUUUUUUAACUUUUAAAAACUUUUGUGUUUUAACAGGACCUGGGCUCCUGUUGAGAAGUGAUGGAAUAAUCUGUGGCCGGCACCUGACAUAUUGAGAGAGCAGCCCCUAAAGGAGCUUGCCUGGGAGACAGUUUGUGAAAUAACACAGUAACAUGUUUGCAGUAACCAGCAUGUUUUGGAAAUUUGAUCUCCAUUCGUCAUCACACAUAGAUACACUUCUAGAAAGAGAAGAUGUAACACUGAAGGAGUUGAUGGAUGAAGAGGAUGUUCUACAGGAGUGCAAGGCUCAGAAUCGCAAACUUAUAGAGUUUCUGCUGAAGUCAGAAUGUUUGGAAGACUUAGUUUCAUUUAUUAUUGAAGAGCCACCUCAAGACAUGGAUGAAAAAAUUCGAUAUAAAUACCCAAACAUAUCAUGUGAGCUGCUUACAUCAGAUGUCUCACAGAUCAAUGAUAGGUUGGGAGAAGAAGAAUCCUUACUCCUGAAACUGUACAGCUUCCUCUUAAAUGAAUCUCCUCUAAACCCUCUACUGGCCAGUUUCUUCAGCAAGGUGUUAAGUAUUCUUAUCAGCAGAAAGCCAGAACAGAUUGUAGAUUUUUUAAAGAGGAAGCAUGAUUUUGUAGACCUCAUUAUUAAGCACAUAGGGACCUCUGCUAUCAUGGACUUGUUGCUCAGGCUACUGACUUGCAUAGAACCUCCACAGCCCCGGCAAGAAGUGCUGAAUUGGCUGAAUGAGGAGAAAAUUAUCCAGCGGCUUGUGGAAAUCGUACACCCAUCUCAAGAUGAGGAUAGGCAUUCAAAUGCAUCACAGUCACUCUGUGAAAUUAUUCGUCUAAGCAGAGACCAGAUGCUACAAGUACAGAACAGUUCAGAACCAGACCCACUGCUUGCAAGUUUAGAGAAACAAGAAAUCAUAGAGCAGCUUCUGUCUAAUAUUUUUCAUAAAGAAAAAAAUGAAUCUGCAAUUGUCAGUGCAAUCCAAAUCCUGUUGACCUUACUUGAGACAAGACGACAGACAUUUGAAGGUCAUAUAGAGAUCUGUCCUCCAGGCAUGAGCAAUUCCACAUAUUCUGUCAACAAAAGUGUUUUAGAAGCCAUAAAAGCACGACUUUCAUCCUUCCAUGAACUCCUACUUGAGCCUCCAAAAAAAAGCGUCAUGAAGACAACCUGGGGUGUACUGGAUCCACCUGUAGGAAACACACGUUUAAAUGUGAUUAGAUUAAUAUCUAGCCUUCUACAAACAAAUACAAGCAGUGUAAAUCAGGAGCUUAUAGAACUUAACAGCAUAGGAGUCAUACUGGACAUGUUUUUUAAAUAUACGUGGAAUAACUUUUUGCAUACUCAAGUAGAAAUCUGUAUUGCAUUGAUUCUUGCAAGUCCUCUUGAAAACACGGAAAAUGGCACAAUUACAGAUCAGGAUUCCAGUGGGGACAAUCUUUUACUGAAACAUCUCUUCCUUAAGUGCCAAUUAAUAGAAAGAAUACUUGAAGCAUGGGAGAUGAAUGAGAAGAAACAGGCUGAAGGAGGAAGAAGGCACGGCUACAUGGGUCACCUGACAAGGAUAGCAAACUGCAUUGUGCACAGUACAGAUAAGGGGCCAAACAGCACACUAGUCCAGCAGCUCAUCAAAGAGCUUCCAGAGGAGGUGAGAGAGCGAUGGGAAACAUUCUGCACAAGCUCUUUAGGAGAAACCAACAAGAGGAAUACCGUGGAUCUGGUUACCACCUGCCACAUUCACUCUUCCAGUGAUGAUGAAAUAGACUUUAAAGAAACGGGGUUCUCACAGGAUUCUUCUUUGCAGCAGGCCUUUUCUGAUUAUCAGAUGCAACAAAUGACGUCCAAUUUUAUUGACCAGUUUGGCUUCAACGAUGAGAAGUUUGCUGAUCAAGAUGACAUUGGCAAUGUUUCUUUUGAUCGGGUUUCAGACAUCAACUUUACCCUCAAUACAAAUGAAAGUGGCAAUAUAGCCUUGUUUGAGGCAUGCUGUAAGGAGCGGAUACAGCAGUUUGAUGAUGGUGGCUCUGAUGAAGAAGACAUUUGGGAAGAAAAACAUAUUACAUUUGCACCAGAGUCCCAGAGGCGUUCCAGCUCGGGCAGUACAGACAGUGAAGAAAGUACAGAUUCUGAAGAAGAGGAUGGAGCUAAACAAGACUUGUUCGAGUCCCACACCAAUACAGAGGACAAAAUGGAAGUAGACUUAAGUGAACCACCUAACUGGUCAGCAAACUUUGAUGUUCCCAUGGAGACUGCACAUGGUGCCAGUCUGGAUUCUGUUGGCUCUGCUGUGUGGAGUACUGAAGCAACUGUGCCAGCUAAAGAAACCGGCUGGGCUUCCUUUUCUGACUUCACAUCCUCUUUGAGCUCAAAAGACUCCUUAAGAAGUAAUUCUCCUGUGGAAAUGGAAACAAACACAGAUCCAGGUGAUCCCUUGAGUGCAAACGCAACUACUCUUACAACACCUCUGGAGACCCCAGGAAGUGUUGCUAUGGAGGCCAGCUCAGAUGGAGAGGAUGAUGUGGAAAAUGCAGACAAGGUAACCGAGACAGUCAUGAAUGGCAGCAUGAAGGAGACACUGAGCCUAACUGUAGAUGCUAAAACUGAAACCGCCGUUUUCAAAAGAGUGUUGAAAUCCUAUCGUGAGGAAGGAAAAUUGACUACCUCGCAGGAUCCUUCUUGUAAAUAUGUAGUAGAAGAGAAUACAGAGGUUGCAGAAGAGGUCCCUUCAGGUCUUCAGCCUACUAACAGCAGUCCAGAACAGAGUGUUUUUAGAGCUUAGCAGCCAAAGACUUAGCUAGGGGGCUUCUGCUGGUCAUGUGCAUGUAGAGCACGGACCCCAGAGUGGCUUCUCUGUGAUGUCCACCAUCAGAGAACAGGAGUUACAGGACUGAUCAACACACCCAUUUAGGAGAGGCAUCUGUUAAUGGCCCUGUAUGAUAUGUGAUGUCUACUGCCUUGGCUGAAGAGAAAGAACUGAUGUCCAGGUGUUUGAGUGUUUCUUGAGGAUAUCAUCUAGACCCUGUUGAAGCCAGUCACUGCUGCACUAAUUUCGCAAGGAAUCAGGACCAGCAACAUUUAUAUUCUAGAUUUUAAGACAUUGUACAGAAAUUCAUAAGUGUAAAAAUAUUGCACAUUGAGAAAUACCAAUAAUUUUUGCGUAUGUUUAUAUUGUAUUGUUCUAAAUAAUGGGGGGCCUGUGAAAUAAGAUCUUGCUACCCAUGUAAUGAUGACAGUAGUGUUACUAUAGUUAAAAUGGCUGUAAGAAUAGUUUUAUAAAAAAGUGAAUACAAAAAUCUAAUGUAUUUGAGACAUAACUAUUUGACGAUUAGUGUGACCAAAGUAUUUAGCAGUUUUCUUACAUUUUUCACCUUGUAAAAAAGAAAAAGAAAAUUCAUGUUUUUUCUGAAACUGAAAUGCCCUAUAAAUGUUAUUUUGGUUGGUUUAGCUUACAAAAGUGAUUUAAAUAAGAAUUUUUUGGUGUUCAACAUUUUACAACAGGUUUUUUAAUUGGUAAUUGUUUUCUGUAUUGUUCUAAACAGAUCAAAAAAUGUAAGUCUAUUGGUAGAGAUUUUAAGUAUUUAUUGCAACAGCUUAGUUGACAAAUUGAUGUUACUGUAAAGCCAUAUGUUCUGUUAAGUCUAGUUUGCUUGAAACAAUACCUUCCAGGUGAAACACUAGAAUAUUUGGAGUGCACAUGGCUUGUUGUGUUUAAGUGGUUCACCUGCCUUUAAACAGUUCACCAAGAUUUAGUUUAAUACCAAGCAUUAUACAAUGGAACAUUUCAGAACAAUCUGCGUAUUUAAAACGCUAUAAUCCUUUUAGACAAGUCAAGUAAAAGAAAUGCUCAUGCUGCUAAUGUAAUUACAGUACCUGCAUUUUAAAAGUAAAUAGUGUUUUUAAUACAAAUUUUGGCAGCAGAGCAUGUUAAUUGGUAAUUUCACUGUACUGAUCUGUGUGAGGCUUUCAUUUGUAUGUUCUGAACCAGUUUUUUCACAGCUGGUUUGUGUAUAUAUAUAGUGAUUAUGGAAACUAAUUCUGUGUAAUUUAUAAUUUUCUAUGUCAGUGUAAAAUUCCAACAGCCUUCUCAAACAAACAGAAGCAAUAUACUGUAUAUUGCCACAUUGUCUGGUGAAAGGGUUAAAAUACUCCUGCACUUUUAGGCGCAAAACCAUUUUUGUUUCUGUAAUAGUCAUACUCAUUUAUUUUUUACAUCAUUUGUUUUCCUGACCAGUAUUUAAAGCCAAAAGGAUAUUCAAAACAAUGGCCAAUGAUUUAUUUUAGAAGGCGUCCCAAACAACGUGCCUAAACAUUACAUUGCGUACAGAAAUAAAAAACCCACAUGUAUGUCACUGCC
This is an RNA transcript of Passer domesticus (house sparrow), 4613 nucleotides long. It is a transcript of the gene named protein phosphatase 6 regulatory subunit 3, with no coding region annotated. NCBI's taxonomy places the organism in Eukaryota, Metazoa, Chordata, Aves, Passeriformes, Passeridae. The record is from RefSeq and is a predicted model, not a curated record. The transcript has 27 exons.